This 247-nucleotide ribosomal RNA is filed under the name uncultured bacterium. Its description in RNAcentral is "partial 16S ribosomal RNA". It matches the Rfam family "Bacterial small subunit ribosomal RNA", at positions 524 to 769 of the family's 1533-position model. The record is from RNAcentral.
UACAGAGGUCUCAAGCGUUGUUCGGAUUCAUUGGGCGUAAAGGGUGCGUAGGUGGCGGGGUAAGUCAGGUGUGAAAUCUCGGAGCUCAACUCCGAAACUGCACUUGAUACUGCCUUGCUCGAGUACUGGAGAGGAGAUUGGAAUUCCCAGUGUAGAGGUGAAAAUUCGUAGAUAUUGGGAAGAACACCGGUGGCGAAGGCGGCGAGCUGGUCCAUUACUGACGCUGAGGCGCGACAGCGUGGGGAGC